RNAcentral lists this ribosomal RNA (427 nucleotides) under uncultured bacterium. Its description in RNAcentral is "partial 16S ribosomal RNA". It matches the Rfam family "Bacterial small subunit ribosomal RNA", at positions 355 to 774 of the family's 1533-position model. The record is from RNAcentral.
UGGGGAAUAUUGCACAAUGGGCGCAAGCCUGAUGCAGCCAUGCCGCGUGUAUGAAGAAGGACUUCGGGUUGUAAAGUACUUUCAGCGGGGAGGAAGGUGUUGGGGUUAAUAACCUCAGCAAUUGACGUUACCCGCAGAAGAAGCACCGGCUAACUCCGUGCCAGCAGCCGCGGUACUACGGAGGGUGCAAGCGUUAAUCGGCAUUGCUGGGCGUAAAGCGCACGCAGGCGGUCUGUCAAGUCGGAUGUGAAAUCCCCGGGCUCAACCUGGGAACUGCAUCCGAAACUGGCAGGCUUGAGUCUUGUAGAGGGGGGUAGAAUUCCAGGUGUAGCGGUGAAAUGCGUAGAGAUCUGGAGGAAUACCGGUGGCGAAGGCGGCCCCCUGGACAAAGACUGACGCUCAGGUGCGAAAGCGUGGGGAGCAAACA